CAGCCGCCGCGGUAACACGUAGGUGGCAAGCGUUGUCCGGAAUUAUUGGGCGUAAAGGGCUCGCAGGCGGUUUCUUAAGUCUGAUGUGAAAGCCCCCGGCUCAACCGGGGAGGGUCAUUGGAAACUGGGAAACUUGAGUGCAGAAGAGGAGAGUGGAAUUCCACGUGUAGCGGUGAAAUGCGUAGAGAUGUGGAGGAACACCAGUGGCGAAGGCGACUCUCUGGUCUGUAACUGACGCUGAGGAGCGAAAGCGUGGGGAGCGAACAGGAUUAGAUACCCGCGUAGUCCCUGUCUCUUAUAC
This 301-nucleotide ribosomal RNA is filed under the name uncultured bacterium. RNAcentral's name for it is "partial 16S ribosomal RNA". It matches the Rfam family "Bacterial small subunit ribosomal RNA", at positions 509 to 807 of the family's 1533-position model. The record is from RNAcentral.